Molecule: ribosomal RNA, 627 nt
Filed under: Ciliophora sp.
Lineage: Eukaryota; Ciliophora
Description: SSU rRNA
Rfam family: Eukaryotic small subunit ribosomal RNA
Source: RNAcentral
CUACCAUGGCUAUUACGGGUAACGGAGGAUUAGGGUUCGAUUCCGGAGAGGGAGCCUGAGAAACGGCUACCACAUCUAAGGAAGGCAGCAGGCGCGUAAAUUACCCAAUCCUGAUUCAGGGAGGUAGUGACAAGAAAUAACGGACCGAGGUCUAAUGGCUUCGGGAUUGCAAUGAGCCGAAUUUACACCCCUUAGCGAGAAUCGAUUGGAGGGCAAGUCUGGUGCCAGCAGCCGCGGUAAUUCCAGCUCCAAUAGCGUAUAUUAAAGUUGUUGCAGUUAAAAAGCUCGUAGUUGGAUUUCUGGUUAGGUGCUAAUGUCCGCCAUUGUGCGUGUGCAGCGGCGCCCUUCCAUCCUUCUGUUAACGCCUCUUGGCAUUCAUUUGCUGGUGGCGGGCUCAGAUAUUUUACCUUGAGAAAAUUAGAGUGUUUCAGGCAGGCUAGGCCCGGAAUAUAUUAGCAUGGAAUAAUGGAAUAGGACUAUGGUCUCUUUGUUGGUUUGAGGGACUGCAGUAAUGAUUAAUAGGGAUAGUUGGGGGCAUUAGUAUUUAAUUGUCAGAGGUGGAAUUCUCAGAUUUGUUAAAGACUAACUUAUGCGAAAGCAUUUGCCAAGGAUGUUUUCAUUAAUCAA